GCUGGGCUCGUCCCCCCCCUCACGCGUGUGUACCCGCACACCCCCGCACAUGCGGCGGGGCCCGCACUGCGCAGGCGCCCCGGUACGGCGGGCGCGGAGCGGAGCGGAGCGGAGGGCGGGGGCCGGGCCCGUGACUCAGUUAAAAUGAAGAAUUUAUAUAUUUUUAUCGCUGUCCUGUUCAUCCCAUGGAGCUUUUCUUUGGCAAAGUAUGAUGAAUUUGAGGAUGGAGAUGACAUUAUGGAAUAUGAUGAUAAUGACUUUGCUGAGUUUGAAGAUGUGAGUGAAGAUACAGUCACAGAAUCUCCUCAGAGGAUCAUCACUACAGAAGAUGAUGAAGAAGAAGCCACUGUAGAGCUUGAAGGUCAGGAUGAAAAUCAGGAAGACUUUGAUGAUGCAGACACACAGGAAGGUGACACCGAAAGUGAGCCAUACGAUGAUGAGGAGUUUGAAGGGUAUGAAGAGAAACCAGAUGCAUCUCAUAGCAAAAAUAAAGACCCCAUAACAAUAGUUAAUGUCCCUGCUCACCUUCAAAACAGCUGGGAGAGUUAUUACAUGGAGAUCCUGAUGGUAACAGGUCUCCUGGCUUACAUCAUGAACUACAUCAUUGGGAAGAACAAAAACAACCGCCUGGCUCAUGCUUGGUUCAACACUCACAGGGAGCUGCUAGAAAGUAACUUUGCUCUUGUUGGGGAUGAUGGCACUAAUAAAGAAGCUACAAGCACUGGGAAACUAAAUCAAGAAAAUGAACACAUAUAUAACUUGUGGUGCUCUGGAAGGGUGUGCUGUGAAGGAAUGCUCAUCCAGUUAAAGUUUCUCAAGAGACAGGACCUGCUGAAUGUCCUGGCACGCAUGAUGAGGCCGGCGUCAGACCAAGUGCAAAUAAAAGUGACAAUGAAUGAUGAAGAUAUGGACACGUAUGUGUUUGCUGUUGGAACCAGAAAAGCACUGGUGAGACUUCAGAAAGAGAUGCAGGACCUGAGUGAGUUCUGCAGUGAUAAACCUAAGUCUGGUGCAAAAUAUGGGCUUCCAGAUUCACUGGCUAUCUUGUCAGAGAUGGGAGAGGUCACAGAGGGAAUGAUGGAUGCUAAGAUGAUCCAUUUCCUCACACACUACGCUGACAAGAUUGACUCUGUCCAAUUCUCGGACCAGUUCUCCGGUCCAAAACUUAUGCAAGAGGAGGGCCAGCUUACAAAACUGCCCGAAACUAAAAAGACACUUUUGUUUACAUUUAACGUGCCUGGUUCAGGCAACACUUCCCCAAAGGACAUGGAGUCUUUGCUGCCUCUGAUGAGCAUGGUUAUCUACUCCAUUGACAAAGCAAAGAAGUUCAGGCUGAACAGAGAAGGUAAACAAAAAGCUGACAAGAACAGGGCUCGGGUGGAAGAGAAUUUCCUCAAGCUGACUCACGUGCAGAGACAGGAGGCUGCCCAGUCCCGCCGGGAGGAGAAGAAACGGGCGGAGAAGGAGCGAAUCAUGAACGAAGAGGAUCCCGAGAAGCAGCGGCGGCUGGAGGAAGCUGCUCUGCGGCGUGAGCAGAAGAAGCUUGAGAAGAAGCAGAUGAAGAUGAAGCAAAUCAAAGUGAAAGCCAUGUGACUGUGCUGUGAGAAGUGUCUCGGUGCCACCUGUGGAACUGUAAUUCACAGGGCCUGAAGCAGUAUUAGGUCACCUGUGGGCAUGAUUGGCUUAUGUGUAAAACACAGAGAUGGUUAGAACCAAGGGAAUGGAAUACAUGGACAUUUCCUACUUGUGUGUUUGGAUGCUGCAAACUUAACAACACAGUGUGGAAUCUGUGAUGUCAGCACAGUGUUCCUUCAGGAGUGAGUGCAUGGUGAGUUAGCAGUUCAGCCAGCUUUCCUUCAGUAUUUUUAACAGUUCAAGUUUGCCUCAACCCCUUCUCUCCUGAUCUCAGCAGCUGCUGCCCAGUUCACUUCAGCCAGGAGCCAGAUCUAGUGGAGUACCUGCAAUUCCUGAUCUCCCCAAGCCAGUGAAAACGUUUCAGAGGAUGUUCAUCCUCUUCGUCUGGUCAGUGAUCUCUUCAGGGUUUUGAAUGUAAAUGGGAAGAAUGAAGUGAAUGCCCCGUGCAAGCACUUCGCCGGGAGAGCUCUGCAUUUUAUAAAUGCUUCCUGUCCAGAAGGCAUUUUAUUGUUGCUUGUAACAGACUUUUAACAGUUUUGUGGGGAAACAAUGUCCUGCAUUUUCUUGUUCAAUACUUCAUGGAAACUUGGUUCUGAGGCAAUAAGAAUUAGCUGCUGUUGAAACAGCAAUUGCUUAAACUCCUUGUUCCAGCAUGGGAUACUUCACCCUGAUUGAAAUGCAAAUGUCUGUAACCUGAUACAUGCAAAUACAUUAAUUUUAUAAUGGUUGGUAAAAUUAUUUAAAACCAAAACUAAUGUAGAUUAUGUGAAAUUUUAGCACUAUUUAGCUUUAAAGAUUAAUAUGUUAUUGUUUCACAGAGUUCUUUGAAAGGAAAUACUAGUUUGUGCUCUUUUGAGUAAGCAGACAGCUUUCCUGAAGUCCCAUCCAGUUGUGGGCCACGGCAGCUAAUUUUGUAAUACAAACAUUGAAAUGAACAAUCUAAUGAAGAGUAAAAUAUAAUUGAAACA
RNA transcript from Pyrgilauda ruficollis (rufous-necked snowfinch), 2603 nucleotides. It is a transcript of the gene named coiled-coil domain containing 47, with no coding region annotated. Lineage: Eukaryota; Metazoa; Chordata; Aves; Passeriformes; Passeridae. The transcript has 14 exons. The record is from RefSeq and is a predicted model, not a curated record.